AUGCCUGUUUGGAGCUCCGCUCUUGCCCUUCCAGCCUCUGUACAAACUUUUCUCCUGCUUCAAGUUUCCCUGGCGGAGGCGGGGCCACACUGUGCGCGGCCCGGGCGCCCAUUGGCCAGACCGGGAGGGGGCGGGGCGCGUGCUAGCUCCUCUGCGCGGCGAGGAAGCUCCGCGGGCAGGAGGGAGGGGCUCCGGGCUGCGCGGAUCCCACCGCGCCUCGGCGGGCGGCUCCCUGCAGCUUUCCCGCCCUCCAACGAGGUAGGGGAGGGGGUGUUGGAGACUUGGUCCUCUCGCCUCAGGCAGGUGGUGCGGAGAAGCAGUGGUCCGCGGGAACCCUGGGGAAGCCCCAGUGCUCUUCUGUGCACCCUCUUAGGUACUCUGAAGUCGGCAUCCAGCGGGGCCAGCUCUGAAACCGGCAUCUCUUCUUCCUCACUGCCUCCCGCUCCAAGUGGGCUGUUUCUCGCACCUACUUCACGCGGGUCGCAACAUCUGGGUGCUGGGAAGGGAGGUCAGCGGCUUAGGACUCUACUUUGGAACGCCCGAGAUACCUUCAACACGAAUCCUUGGAAAGGCUGAUGCAGAGCGAGACUGGGAUUUGAAAGUUUUUCGAGUAAAGGAAUCAACUCUAACCCUGGUCAACUCUUGGAAAAGCCCAAUUGCUCUACCUUUUCACUUUGAAUUACACUAUAAUUUCUUCUGUGAUGGGAACAGUUUUUUUGACGACGCGUUAUUCACUUCCUCCUGUUCUACCUCCUGAAGUAAGAACUGAAAACUAAAAAAAGUGAUUGUAAAACUUUAUGGCAUAAUUAUAACUGCUUCACCGUUUUUUUUUUUUUAAACCAUGAAGUGAGAUUGUGUGAGCCUUCACAAUUUCAGUUCCUAAGAAAACCUCUUUCCAGGGGUUGUAUACAUGUAUUUUAACAUAUUGCAUCUCCUCACAGGGUAGGUAAAUAACUUGAUUCUUCUUAUGAUGAGCAGGCACUUAUGCCUUAAAUAUUAUUUCAUGAAUGAACAAACCUAAGAAUUUAUCUGGUUCUCCAGUUAUUCUCAAAUGACACAGUAACAAAUAAGUAAUAGGAGAAACAAAAGAGGGCAUUCCAGAUUUCAACUAAUUACAGGACAUAUUAGAAUUGUAUUUACACAUUUUGUGUAAGGCACCAUGUGGAUAUAUUGAUACAUCAUUCUGUUGUUUGUAUUGUUUCCUCAUGAAUAUCAGGGAUUCAGAAAGAAAAACACAUUUGUUAGCCAGUAUAAAAUAAUUGAUGGCUAUUUGUCAGUUUCUUGGAGUCUUAAUCAUCACUAUAACCACUCCUGUUGUCUGUGCUUCCCAUGAGUAGUAAGCUCUCGGAUUGUGUCAGCAGUGAAAUCAAAUCAACACUAGAAAAAGGAAACUGCAUCUUCUAACCCCCAGUCUUCUCUGACCACAUUGUAUCACUAUUACCCUGUCAGGUGGUUGUCAGUCACAAUAUGAAGACGAAGUGGGAAGUUCCACUUAUAAUCAAUCACUUUCUGCUAAUAAAAAUUUUUUUUCCAGUUCUCUUCCCGCUUGAAGUUCCUAAAAUGGAGAACAAUUAAGAUUAGUACUUGUCAACUUUUCACGAUGAAAAGUAUAUUAAAUGUAAAAAUUUAGGCGCGCUGUUGAGCGAAUUAAUAUUACAGGUGUUAGCAUGUCGUUGAUAAACUGGGCUUGUUAUCAAU
Molecule: long non-coding RNA, 1698 nt
Organism: Delphinapterus leucas (beluga whale)
Lineage: Eukaryota; Metazoa; Chordata; Mammalia; Artiodactyla; Monodontidae
Source: Ensembl